AGCAGCCACGGGAAUACGUAGGGCGCAAGCGUUAUCCGGAAUUAUUGGGCGUAAAGAGCUCGUAGGCGGUUUGUCGCGUCUGCCGUGAAAGUCCGGGGCUCAACCCCGGAUCUGCGGUGGGUACGGGCAGACUAGAGUGAUGUAGGGGAGACUGGAAUUCCUGGUGUAGCGGUGAAAUGCGCAGAUAUCAGGAGGAACACCGAUGGCGAAGGCAGGUCUCUGGGCAUUAACUGACGCUGAGGAGCGAAAGCAUGGGGAGCGAACAGGAUUAGAUACCCCCGUAGUCCCUGUCUCUUAUACA
Molecule: ribosomal RNA, 301 nt
Filed under: uncultured bacterium
Lineage: Bacteria
Description: partial 16S ribosomal RNA
Rfam family: Bacterial small subunit ribosomal RNA
Source: RNAcentral